GAAAGGGGGGGUGGUUACAAGCGGCUUUCAAGGCCGGCCACUUACCCCGGCUUUUGGAUAAAAGCGCGGGGGAGGGGUGGACAGGUCGUGGUGGCAGUCGGUGGCUGGAACUGGACCUUGACUUCCGGAGUAUUUUAUUUGGUUUAUCCCCGGCGUGUUUGUUUCUCUUGCCCUCAGUUAAUGAAACGGGACACAAUUACAAAUGCUUUCCAUUCUCCUUCUUCCUGUAAAAUCCUCACGUUAGUAUAAGUGUCCGCACGUUCGCGGGCUGCCGGUGUCAGCCGCCAGAUGCAUAACCCGUUUCCACCACAUGUUGGAAGUAGUAUGCCAAAAAUAACUUUUAUGCAGUUUAUUAUGGGAAGCGUGUGAUAAUUUAAUCAGACGGUCGUGCAAAUGAUUAUCUCAUCCUCCCAGCGCAAAGAGGAAUGGCAAACAUUCUUGCAAACAUUAUAUAUUUAAAAACACCGAAAGACUGAGUGGGACGUGUAUAUUAUCAAGCAGCCGGAGACUUGACUACGCUGAGGAUGUGAGAAAGACACUCACCGUUGCUGUUGGGCCCCUAGAACGCGUGUCCAGAGGAACUGCUGAAACAGGUAAGAUUGCAACGUUUAAAAGCCAUUUCGACAUGAAGACGCGGAUGGACAGGGAGACAUAUGGACCUUGUGCAGGCAAAUAAGAUUAAUUUCGGGUGGCAUCGUGGUCAGUGCAAACAUUGUGGGCUGAAUUACCUGUUCCUGUACUGUACGAAAAGUUCGAAAUAUUCGAUGUUUCUGGGCCGUCACAGCUCUCCUUAUUAUUCACGAAUCACUCCGAUCGAACCAGGCACGAUUUACUUUCGAAUGACAAUUGGGUAUCUGACUGCCGUUGUUCACAGUAAAUACAAUAAAUCUUUAUUACAAA
This is a long non-coding RNA of Leucoraja erinaceus (little skate), 900 nucleotides long. RefSeq lists it as uncharacterized. NCBI's taxonomy places the organism in Eukaryota, Metazoa, Chordata, Chondrichthyes, Rajiformes, Rajidae. The record is from RefSeq and is a predicted model, not a curated record. The transcript has 3 exons.